GCUUGUCUCAAUCGGCUUCAGUUGCUUGGUACUAAAACUCCAGCUGAAAUUUUGGUGAAGCUCUCGUGAUUUCAAUGGCCAGAUAAGGCUGACAGCACUUUUCUCAAGAGGAACGAGGAACAGGGCUUCAUCAAGCUGCAGAACAGUUUUUCUACAGACAAAAGGCAGACAGAGGACAUAUGGGUGGAGAGGUCUGUUCUGGGAAGGCCCCAUAGGGUCCUGCUCUGUUACACUAUGACUUAUUUUGCUUUGAAGAGAAGAUAUGUACCUUUUAGUUACCAUGUAUGAUUUUCUUUUGUGGGAUUUAAUUAAAACAUUCAGUUACUUAAUAAAUACUUCCUGAGCACUAACUAUGCAUCAGGUACUCAGGUACUAGGGACUCAGCUGCAAAAUAAAGAGACAAAAAUAUGUGUCUUCAUAGAGCCCAAACUCUAGUUGGUGAAGACAAGCAAUCAAUGAGUAAAAUAUAUAGAAUGACAGAAAAUUUAAAGUGCUGUGAGGAAAAGUAAAGCAUGGGAGCAAGAUGGGGACUGCCAGGGCACGGAACAGCAGGCUGCAGUUAUACAUAGGAUGGCAAAGAAAGGGCUGGAUGAAGAGACAAUAAAAAUAUAGUCAUUAGGGCAUCAUUCGUGAUAAAGAUAAAUAUUGGCAGCAACCUAGAUAUCUGUCUA
This is a long non-coding RNA of Physeter macrocephalus (sperm whale), 671 nucleotides long. RefSeq lists it as uncharacterized. The record is from RefSeq and is a predicted model, not a curated record. NCBI's taxonomy places the organism in Eukaryota, Metazoa, Chordata, Mammalia, Artiodactyla, Physeteridae. The transcript is spliced from 3 exons.